RNAcentral lists this ribosomal RNA (496 nucleotides) under uncultured bacterium. RNAcentral describes it as "partial 16S ribosomal RNA". It matches the Rfam family "Bacterial small subunit ribosomal RNA", at positions 28 to 506 of the family's 1533-position model. The record is from RNAcentral.
GAUGAACGCUGGCGGCGUGCCUAAUACAUGCAAGUCGAGCGAACAGACGAGGAGCUUGCUCCUCUGACGUUAGCGGCGGACGGGUGAGUAACACGUGGAUAACCUACCUAUAAGACUGGGAUAACUUCGGGAAACCGGAGCUAAUACCGGAUAAUAUAUUGAACCGCAUGGUUCAAUAGUGAAAGACGGUUUUGCUGUCACUUAUAGAUGGAUCCGCGCCGCAUUAGCUAGUUGGUAAGGUAACGGCUUACCAAGGCGACGAUGCGUAGCCGACCUGAGAGGGUGAUCGGCCACACUGGACCUGAGACACGGUCCAGACUCCUACGGGAGGCAGCAGUAGGGAAUCUUCCGCAAUGGGCGAAAGCCUGACGGAGCAACGCCGCGUGAGUGAUGAAGGUCUUCGGAUCGUAAAACUCUGUUAUUAGGGAAGAACAAAUGUGUAAGUAACUAUGCACGUCUUGAUGGUACCUAAUCAGAAAGCCACGGCUAACUACGU